GUUCAUGGUGGACGGUGCGCGGGGAUCUUUGAUCCGCCGGUCAAUCUGGGGGGGGUGCUCAGCCGGUAUGCCAACCCGCACCGUCUGCCACCUUG
RNAcentral lists this non-coding RNA (95 nucleotides) under Stenotrophomonas maltophilia. Lineage: Bacteria; Pseudomonadati; Pseudomonadota; Gammaproteobacteria; Lysobacterales; Lysobacteraceae. The record is from RNAcentral.